GAUGAACGCUGGCGGCGUGCUUAACACAUGCAAGUCGAACGGAAAGGCCGAAGCUUGCUUCGGUACUCGAGUGGCGAACGGGUGAGUAACACGUGGGUGAUCUGCCCUGUACUUCGGGAUAAGCUUGGGAAACUGGGUCUAAUACCGGAUAUGACAAUCUCUUGGAUGGGGUUGUGGAAAGCUUUUGCGGUAUGGGAUGAGCUCGCGGCCUAUCAGCUUGUUGGUGGGGUAAUGGCCUACCAAGGCGUCGACGGGUAGCCGGCCUGAGAGGGUGUACGGCCACAUUGGGACGGAGAUACGGCCCAGACUCCUACGGGAGGCAGCAGUGGGGAAUAUUGCACAAUGGGCGCAAGCCUGAUGCAGCGACGCCGCGUGGGGGAUGACGGCCUUCGGGUUGUAAACUCCUUUCGCAACCGACGAAGCUUUUGUGACGGUAGGUUGAGAAGAAGCACCGGCUAACUACGUG
Molecule: ribosomal RNA, 466 nt
Filed under: uncultured bacterium
Lineage: Bacteria
Description: partial 16S ribosomal RNA
Rfam family: Bacterial small subunit ribosomal RNA
Source: RNAcentral